RNAcentral lists this ribosomal RNA (670 nucleotides) under uncultured Alphaproteobacteria bacterium. RNAcentral describes it as "bacterial SSU rRNA". It matches the Rfam family "Bacterial small subunit ribosomal RNA", at positions 67 to 782 of the family's 1533-position model. The record is from RNAcentral. Lineage: Bacteria; Pseudomonadati; Pseudomonadota; Alphaproteobacteria.
CGCAUCCUUCGGGAUGAGCGGCGGACGGGUGAGUAACGCGUGGGAAUGUGCCCUUCUCUACGGAAUAGCCACUGGAAACGGUGAGUAAUACCGUAUACGCCCUCAGGGGGAAAGAUUUAUCGGAGAAGGAUCAGCCCGCGUUAGAUUAGGUAGUUGGUGGGGUAACGGCCUACCAAGCCUACGAUCUAUAGCUGGUUUUAGAGGAUGAUCAGCAACACUGGGACUGAGACACGGCCCAGACUCCUACGGGAGGCAGCAGUGGGGAAUCUUGGACAAUGGGGGCAACCCUGAUCCAGCCAUGCCGCGUGAGUGAAGAAGGCCCUAGGGUCGUAAAACUCUUUCGCCUGUGAUGAUAAUGACAGUAGCAGGUAAAGAAACCCCGGCUAACUCCGUGCCAGCAGCCGCGGUAAUACGGAGGGGGUUAGCGUUGUUCGGAAUUACUGGGCGUAAAGCGCACGUAGGCGGAUUAGAAAGUUAGAGGUGAAAUCCCGGGGCUCAACCCCGGAACUGCCUUUAAAACUACUAGUCUAGAGUUCGAGAGAGGUGAGUGGAAUUCCGAGUGUAGAGGUGAAAUUCGUAGAUAUUCGGAGGAACACCAGUGGCGAAGGCGGCUCACUGGCUCGAUACUGACGCUGAGGUGCGAAAGUGUGGGGAGCAAACAAGGAUUAGA